UAAUAAAAAGUAUUAACUUUCUUUGUUAUAUUUAUAAGAUUCUUGAUUGUCAUCUAUGUAUAUUUAUUACUAUUAUAUUUUUAUUAAUAAAUCUUAGUCAAAUCUUAAAAAAUCCUAAUCAAAUCUUAAUCAAAUUUUAACCAAUUUUUCGUCAAAUCCUAAACAAACCUUAACCAAAUCCUAGUCAAAUCUUAAACAAAUUUUUAAAAAAUUCUAAUCAAACCUUAAAUAAAUCCUAGUCAAAUCCUAAAUAAAUCCUAAUCAAAUCCUAAUUAAAUCUCAACCAAAUCCUUAAUAAAUCCUAGUCAAAUCCUAAAUAAAUCCUAACCAAAUUCUGAAUAAAUCUUAGUCAAAUCCUAAAAAAAUCCUAAUCAAAUCCUGAAUAAAUCUUAGUCAAAUUUAAAAUAAAUCCUAAUCAAACCUUUAUCAAAUCCUAAAAAAUUCCAAUAAAUCUUAGUCAAAUCCUAAACAAACCUUAAUAAAAUCCUAGUCAAAUCCUAACAAAUCUUAACAAAUCCUAAAUAAAUCUUAAUCAAAUCCUAACAAAUCUUAAUCAAAUCUUAAUCAAAUCAUAAAUAAAUCUUAAUCAAAUCUUAAUAAAAUCCUAAUCAAAUCUUAACCAAAUUUAAGUUAAAUCCUAAAUAAAUCUUAAACAAAUCUUAAACAAAUCCCAAUCAAAUCCUAAAUAAAUCCUAAAUAAAUCUUAGUCAAAUCCUAACAAAUCUUAGUUAGAUCCUAAACAAAUUUUAAUCAAAUCUUACUCAAACCUUAACAAAUCCUUAUCAAAUAUUAAUUAAAUACUAAUCAAAUCCUAAAUAAAUCCUAACCAAAUUCUAAACAAAUUCUAACCAAACCCUAAAUAAUCUCAAGUAAUUUCUAUAGUAGGUUUAAACCUCAAUGACUAAUGAAUGAAUUAUUGAUUUUAACUCAAAUUUUGCAUACCUCUUCACAAUUAAUUUAACAAGAAGCAAAAUUUUUUUGAAGAAGAUCAAACUCAAUAAAAAAAAAAGAUCAAUCCUAAUAUUUCCUCAAGUGUUGGCUAGCCUCCUUCUUCAAUCUAAAUGUUGAAUUUCCAACAUCAAUAUCUUCUUAUCAAACUAUUUGAUUGAUCUCGAAUUUCUCUCAUAUAUAGGAAAAUAAGUCUAUUACUUAAAUACAUAAUUUUCACUCCAAUCUAAUUAAUAAAUUACAAGAAAUCUUAGAAACUCUCAUUAGAACUAAAACUCUACUUCUAAAGAUCCUGACCCACUUAUACCUCAAUUAUCCUUGAUCCAACUCUUUGAUCAAGGUCAAACUCAUAGCAUAUAUUGAACACAUAUAUAUCUACAAACCCUCAAAAUUUCACUUACAGAUCUACUCUCAAACUUAUGAAACCCUCCAAAAAUUAUCACCGACUUUAAUUU
This 1403-nucleotide long non-coding RNA is filed under the name Physcomitrium patens. RNAcentral's name for it is "long non-coding RNA (PPAT_LNC009845)". The record is from RNAcentral. Lineage: Eukaryota; Viridiplantae; Streptophyta; Bryopsida; Funariales; Funariaceae.